GCACCCAGACCGGCAGGCUGAGCAGGCUCUGUGUGGGUGAGACAGCAGAACCGGUGGGGUAGUCAGCAGAAAGAUCUGGACACCCCAGCCUAGAUGUCCCGUCCCCGAGCCCUGACAUCAGCCCUCCUCUCUUUACUAAUGCAUGAUGCCUGAUAACAGAAAUGCGUUGUUUAAAAGAAUAAGAAAACUCAGCAUGCUGAAGGUAACACUUCACAAGCUCUGCUCCUGGGUCCAAGGUCAGGAGAGGGACCAGGGGCUUGAGAAGAGUCCAUUUGGAAAAGACUUAAAGUUCUCCAGAAACAGCAGUAAUGGUGAUGACAACUAACAUGACCCGGCGGUGACUUUACCAGUUGAGGAAACUGAUGCUUGGAGAGGGAAAGUACCUGGCCCAGAGGAGCCGAGCUAAGUGACAGGGCCCGGACUUGAGCCCUAGUGUCCUUGUUUCAUCCAAGCUGGUUACACCCACCACGAUGCAAAGACUUUGAAGCUGUGAGGACGCGAGCACCCAGAGCCUGGCGGGGUCAUCUCACCAAACUCCAAGCGCACAGGUCUGGGGAGAACCGGGCUCUUGCUGCUCCUGCUGCAGGGGGAGAAUGAGGCAGAGGGAUGACCUGGAAGAGGAGCCAAGCUCUUCACACGUUCCAUUAAACAAGUAUGGAUGGAAUCUUUUUUGGAUAAGUGCAAAGAAAUGCCUGAAGUGACCUCUCACUUAUGGAGACCUGAUUUUUGAUAACCUCCACAUCCCACAGCCUGUGAAUAAACCAAAAAAAGAGAAAAGCCGUAUUCCUCCCACAGAUGAGGAAACUGGAGCUUGGAGGGAAUGAAUUGCUGGACGUCACAGAGAUGAGCUGGGACUUGAGUUUCAUGCUUCUCAUUCCAGAGGGUGCCCUAGCUUCGCCUCCAUCACAUGGCCUGGGACACUGGAACCUGAUGAGAACCCAGGAGAAGGGACCUUGGGCUGGCCAGGUACUUUCCCUUUGCCCAUGCAGUGCUGCUGGUGGCAACAGCUUCCAUGUCAUACAGGAGGGAACGGAGGCUCGGAACUGCCAAAGCUCCACACGGAUACACCCUUGUAGAGAGACUCCCCCCAUGGAAGGGUCACCUCAACCACUUUCUGCUGGUUCCCUUGCAGACAUUUCAAACUUUGUCACCUAUUCAAAGAUGGCUUUCUACGGACUACAUGAGCAACCAACAAGCUAACCCAUUGGGUGCCAUGAAAAAACAUGAAGCAACAGCCACAUAGGAGAGGGGAUUCCGCACUUGGAGAUGCUGGUCCUACCUGACGGAUGAAGACCCCUGGUGGGAGGUCACCUGGCUCCCAUCUGUCGAGGGCUGUCAGUCCUACACCUGUCCUCUCACAGGCUAAGCCAAUCUGCAAGCCCAUUUGAAUGAAGGUGUCAUGUGGUGAACCACUGUUUUACAUGCC
RNAcentral lists this long non-coding RNA (1426 nucleotides) under Homo sapiens (human). RNAcentral's name for it is "long non-coding RNA NONHSAT192890.1". Lineage: Eukaryota; Metazoa; Chordata; Mammalia; Primates; Hominidae. The record is from RNAcentral.